Cyprinus carpio (common carp) is the source of this 630-nucleotide long non-coding RNA. The record is from Ensembl. Lineage: Eukaryota; Metazoa; Chordata; Actinopteri; Cypriniformes; Cyprinidae.
CAAUAACCUUGUUUCAUUUACUCAGUAUAAAAUAAUUACCCUACUUCCCUUUGUGUUUUGUUGGUCUGGUCUGGAAACCCCGCGCAAACGAAGAGGAACACACGGACUGAACAAGGGGAAGCGGGACAGUGCCAGGGUGCAAAGUUUUAUGAGUUGGUCUCAACCGAACUCACCACAUUCCCACCGUCCUGCAGCCGAGGGACGUGACUCUAGCCACGCCGGAGCUGCAGCCAAACCACAGCUCACUUAAGCAACAUUCUGAAGAAUCUUCAUGCAUCUUCUACUGUAAAAGGACAUCUCAUAAUUACCAUAUCUGGCAAACUAUCCAAAACGUCCCAAGACAUAAGACUCAGAAGUAAUAUUCCAAGUCUUUUAAUGUAAUGCAAUACCUUUGUGUGAGGGGGAAAAAUCGCUUUCAUAUGUCAUAUGAGGACUGGAAAUCUACUGAAGAAACUAAAAAACUUUUAAAUUAAAAAAAAAAAAAAAAAAUGUUUUGUUAGUUUAGUAACAGCAUAUGGUUUUAGAACAUAAUGAGGAUGAGUAAAUGAUGACAGAACUUUAAUUUUGGGUAAACUGUUCCUUUAAAUCAAGCAGCGUUCUCUCAGGGUCUAUCAGAAUGUGGGCAUUUGC